UGAUCUACAGAUGCCUUGACCAUUGU
This 26-nucleotide non-coding RNA is filed under the name Homo sapiens (human). The record is from RNAcentral. Lineage: Eukaryota; Metazoa; Chordata; Mammalia; Primates; Hominidae.